UUAAUAAAUCACGCAAAUCCUUUGUGGCCAAAUUGGGUGACGGAAAGUGCGGUUUCUUGGGGGCAAGGGGCCCCCAGAAAAGCUGGAGAAACAACAUCAGGGUGAGAGUAAGGGGCCCUCACCGUUAUGGACAUUGAAUCUCAUGUCCGAGCCGGGCUUCCCCGUGGUGAAGUGAUCGAGAGAUGCGAAGAUCAGGACGAGGGUAAGGGGCCCCCGUCGUUAUGGACCUUGCUCUCUUUUGCCGGUGUGUGCUUCACCGUGGGCGAAGUGUGGCCGUGUGGACAGCACUUUCCGUCCCGCUUUCUUUAUUUCUUCUUGAAUGUAUAAAAUUAUUUACAAGUUGAUAAAACAGAACAAUAUAGAUAUGAUUACAAUUGAUUUCCUAUAUUUAAUUAAGUUUCUAUAGUUCCUGAUUAUUGGAUCAUCUUCUUCAUUAAAGGGUUGGGUGGGUGGGAUUUUCCUUUUAUGUUGUCUCGAAGACCGUUGAAACCAGAGUGAACUGAGAUGAGAUUUGGCUAGCUUUUGCUGAUAACUGAAGAAUGUCGGCUUAGCAAAAUAGGAUUAUAUUGGCAGUUUGAUAUUGACGCUUGGCAGAUAUUGCCCGGAGAGGAAAGCGGUUGUUUUCCCUGGUUAUCGUUACCGUUUAGGUUACAUAGUUUUAGGUAUGGAUGUUGCCUCUUAUUAAUCCCAAUUUAUUUUUUAAAUAAAUU
Non-coding RNA from Paramuricea clavata, 710 nucleotides. The record is from the annotation of a GenBank genome assembly. NCBI's taxonomy places the organism in Eukaryota, Metazoa, Cnidaria, Anthozoa, Malacalcyonacea, Plexauridae.